GAUGAACGCUGGCGGCGUGCCUAAUACAUGCCAGUCGAGCGAACAGACGAGGAGCUUGCUCCUCUGACGUUAGCGGCGGACGGGUGAGUAACACGUGGAUAACCUACCUAUAAGACUGGGAUAACUUCGGGAAACCGGAGCUAAUACCGGAUAAUAUAUUGAACCGCAUGGUUCAAUAGUGAAAGACGGUUUUGCUGUCACUUAUAGAUGGAUCCGCGCCGCAUUAGCUAGUUGGUAAGGUAACGGCUUACCAAGGCAACGAUGCGUAGCCGACCUGAGAGGGUGAUCGGCCACACUGGAACUGAGACACGGUCCAGACUCCUACGGGAGGCAGCAGUAGGGAAUCUUCCGCAAUGGGCGAGAGCUUGACGGAGCAACGCCGCGUGAGUGAUGAAGGUCUUCGGAUCGUAAAACUCUGUUAUUAGGGAAGAACAAAUGUGUAAGUAACUAUGCACGUCUUGACGGUACCUAAUCAGAAAGCCACGGCUAACUACGUG
RNAcentral lists this ribosomal RNA (497 nucleotides) under uncultured bacterium. RNAcentral's name for it is "partial 16S ribosomal RNA". It matches the Rfam family "Bacterial small subunit ribosomal RNA", at positions 28 to 507 of the family's 1533-position model. The record is from RNAcentral.